Long non-coding RNA from Siniperca chuatsi (mandarin fish), 1687 nucleotides. RefSeq lists it as uncharacterized. The transcript has 3 exons. The record is from RefSeq and is a predicted model, not a curated record. NCBI's taxonomy places the organism in Eukaryota, Metazoa, Chordata, Actinopteri, Centrarchiformes, Sinipercidae.
UCUAAUGUUGCCAUUGAGUCAGUUUGUUAGCUCCGUCCUAUAUUUAUUUACAUUUUGGCAUUUUGACACCAUUAAAAGUAUGCCGAAUUAGCUAUUAGCAGUUCCUGUUCGCUAUGUAACCAUGGAUGUACAGACAACUAUCACUGAAUUGCCACUGAAGAAAACACAACAACCUGAUGAUUCUUGGGCAAAAUCUGGAGCGUCUUUUUUCUCUGAUUUAUGGACGUGUAUUCGCUAUGGACAUCGGAGAUAAUUGUAGUAAACGUUUGACUUCAUGGAUCAUCCCCCUCAAUUUUCUUUCCCCUCCAUCUUCACAUGACACACACAUGACUUAUCAGUGGAACUCAUCUGGGAAAGGUGUGCUGAGGCUCUCAGAUGAGAACGAGAAUGGACAACAGUCUGUUUCACAGCAGGCAAGGAUCAUAGAACAUGAUGACAGAUGCCCAGGUGACAACUGCCUUGAGUGUUGGGAAUUACUCCAUCCAAACUGAAGGUUUAUUUCUAUACACUGUGAGGCAGAUUCUGCAAACCAGUGAUUAGCCAUUUAACAACAGCUGCAGUUUGGUGCUUGAAAAGCCUUGCUUUCGGUUGCAUUCAUCAAUACAGUUCUGUCUCUGUGUACACAAUCAGGCUCCAUUGAGCCAUCAGUCAAAUGGAGCAUCUGUUUCUUGGGAUGUCACUUCACUGUUUCACACUUCAGGAUGUUCUCUCACUCUGCACAUUUGUUCCCUCUGUCGUCUUUAUUCUUCAAUAUAUGUCAUUUGUAAUAUCAUCACAUCCUAGAAGGUACAGUAUAAAGAAACCUGAGGAGGCAAAAUGUUUCUCUGCCAUUUGUAGCUUGUGUCUUUAUCUUUCCAGCAAACUGCAAAGACCUAUGAACUUUUUAGAUGAGAAUCAUUCCUCCUCGAUGCCUCCUCGCUUUCCUCACACCUAAUAUCAUUAAUGUGUUUGAUAAUGUACCAGUUUGUGGUUUACUGCUUUGUCCAUUAUUUCCAGAAUGGAGGACUGUGAUAAGAAAAACCUGAUGCCACUAUAUAUAUAUAGUAUAUAUAUAUAGUGGCAUAUAUAUAUUUUUAUAUAUAUAAAAAAGCUCUUGCUUACAGCAGCAGCAUUAUCAUAAGCAAGCUCUGAUGGACAGUAAAAGAAAGAUGGCUUUCUUACUACAGACUUUGGUUUAUUUGGAUGAUUACAAAUGGAUGUCAUGAUGCCUCUUGAGCUUUGAAAUGCUCCUCGAGGUAUGACUGAGAGCCUUUUAAUGGUUCUGAUCUAAUUUGGUCUGAUUUUCUAAUAGAUGAAAGUGAGACUGAUGUUUGCAGGCAAACAAGAAGAUCUUUGAUUCCCCAUGUGGUGUUACUGAUGUAAGGUUACCUGAGUGGCAUGUUGUUGUGUUGUUUUCUGUGUGCUUAAAUAUAUCAUCUUUAUUAGUUCUAAGCACUAUUUGUAAGUUUGUCUGAAAGGUUAAUAAUGUGAAUAAUACAUUACAUUCCUGAAUGAUUUAAACAAAAUCAAAUCUACUUGAAUCAAACUGAAUUGGGGAUUGUUCCAUGCUGUUAGAGGGGCCCUUGGAGUCUUCUUGUAAACAAACAAAAGCUAUGUUUACAUUCAGUGUUACUCACCAAAACGCAUUGUGUGUAUCUUUGAGGUCUAACAAAUGUGUUAAAUGCAUUUCCUUCCUCAUAAAACAUUU